UACGUAGGGUGCGAGCGUUGUCCGGAAUUACUGGGCGUAAAGAGUUCGUAGGCGGUUUGUCGCGUCGUUCGUGAAAACUUGGGGCUUAACUCCAAGCGUGCGGGCGAUACGGGCAGACUUGAGUACUACAGGGGAGACUGGAAUUCCUGGUGUAGCGGUGAAAUGCGCAGAUAUCGGAAGGAACACCAGUGGCGAAAGCGGCUUCCUGGUCCGACACCGACGUUCAGGCACGAAAGCGUGGGGAGCAAACAGG
This 253-nucleotide ribosomal RNA is filed under the name uncultured bacterium. RNAcentral's name for it is "partial 16S ribosomal RNA". It matches the Rfam family "Bacterial small subunit ribosomal RNA", at positions 524 to 776 of the family's 1533-position model. The record is from RNAcentral.